CUCUAACACACACAAAAAAAACAUUUAGUCACCUGUGGAAUGGACAGGACUGAAAAAACACCAUCCAAUCAUUUUAAUCAGCCCAUCGAAAUGAUUGAAUGGUGAUAUGACUAUCAAACUCAAAUGCCAUUUGUCACUCCCCCUCUGCACAUGCAGUUCCGUACUAUGCAGGUGU
Molecule: long non-coding RNA, 175 nt
Organism: Sphaeramia orbicularis (orbiculate cardinalfish)
Lineage: Eukaryota; Metazoa; Chordata; Actinopteri; Kurtiformes; Apogonidae
Exons: 4
Source: RefSeq, a predicted model, not a curated record